Molecule: ribosomal RNA, 274 nt
Filed under: uncultured bacterium
Lineage: Bacteria
Description: partial 16S ribosomal RNA
Rfam family: Bacterial small subunit ribosomal RNA
Source: RNAcentral
AUACGGAGGGUGCAAACGUUGCUCGGAAUUAUUGGGCGUAAAGCGCGCGUAGGCGGCUUGAUAAGUCGGAUGUGAAAGCCCUUGGCUCAACCAAGGAAGUGCAUACGAAACUGUCAGGCUUGAGUAUGGGAGAGGAUUGUGGAAUUCCCGGUGUAGAGGUGAAAUUCGUAGAUAUCGGGAGGAACACCAGUGGCGGAGGCGACAAUCUGGACCAAUACUGACGCUGAGGUGCGAAAGCGUGGGGAGCAAACAGGAUUAGAAACCCCAGUAGUCC